GGGUAACCUACCUAUAAGACUGGAUAACUCGGGAAACCGGAGCUAAUACCGGAUAAUAUUCGAACCGCAUGGUUCGAUAGUGAAAGAUGGUUUUGCUAUCACUUAUAGAUGGACCUGCGCCGUAUAGCUAGUUGGUAAGGUAACGGCUUACCAAGGCGACGAUACGUAGCCGACCUGAGAGGGUGAUCGGCCACACUGGAACUGAGACACGGUCCAGACUCCUACGGGAGGCAGCAGCC
This 239-nucleotide ribosomal RNA is filed under the name uncultured Staphylococcus sp. RNAcentral's name for it is "partial 16S ribosomal RNA". It matches the Rfam family "Bacterial small subunit ribosomal RNA", at positions 119 to 355 of the family's 1533-position model. The record is from RNAcentral. Lineage: Bacteria; Bacillati; Bacillota; Bacilli; Caryophanales; Staphylococcaceae.